This 569-nucleotide unclassified non-coding RNA is filed under the name Aspergillus sydowii. RNAcentral's name for it is "sequence contains 18S rRNA gene, ITS1, 5.8S rRNA gene, ITS2 and 28S rRNA gene". The stretch from base 187 to 340 matches the Rfam family "5.8S ribosomal RNA". Lineage: Eukaryota; Fungi; Ascomycota; Eurotiomycetes; Eurotiales; Aspergillaceae. The record is from RNAcentral.
CCCGUAGGUGAACCUGCGGAAGGAUCAUUACUGAGUGCGGGCUGCCUCCGGGCGCCCAACCUCCCACUCGCGAAUACCUAACACUGUUGCUUCGGCGGGGAACCCCCUCGGGGGCGAGCCGCCGGGGACUACUGAACUUCAUGCCUGAGAGUGAUGCAGUCUGAGUCUGAAUAUAAAAUCAGUCAAAACUUUCAACAAUGGAUCUCUUGGUUCCGGCAUCGAUGAAGAACGCAGCGAACUGCGAUAAGUAAUGUGAAUUGCAGAAUUCAGUGAAUCAUCGAGUCUUUGAACGCACAUUGCGCCCCCUGGCAUUCCGGGGGGCAUGCCUGUCCGAGCGUCAUUGCUGCCCAUCAAGCCCGGCUUGUGUGUUGGGUCGUCGUCCCCCCCCGGGGGACGGGCCCGAAAGGCAGCGGCGGCACCGUGUCCGGUCCUCGAGCGUAUGGGGCUUUGUCACCCGCUCGACUAGGGCCGGCCGGGCGCCAGCCGACGUCUCCAACCAUUUUUCUUCAGGUUGACCUCGGAUCAGGUAGGGAUACCCGCUGAACUUAAGCAUAUCAAUAAGCGGAGGA